CCCUUAGAUGUUCUGGGCCGCACGCGCGCUACACUGAUGCAUUCAACGAGUUUUUCCUGGUCCGAGAGGAAUGGGUAACCUUUUGAAAGUGCAUCGUGCUAGGGAUAGACUAUUGCAAUUAUUGGUCUUCAACGAGGAAUUCCUAGUAGACGUAGUUCAUCAGACUGCAUCGAUUACGUCCCUGCCCUUUGUACACACCGCCCGUCGCUCCUACCGAUUGAAUGGUCCGGUGAAAUGUUCGGACCGCGACAAGGCGGACGGUUCGCUGUCAGCUUUGCUGCGGGAAGUUCAUUAAACCUUAUCAUUUAGAGGAAGGAGAAGUCGUANCA
RNAcentral lists this ribosomal RNA (329 nucleotides) under uncultured eukaryote. Its description in RNAcentral is "partial 18S ribosomal RNA". It matches the Rfam family "Eukaryotic small subunit ribosomal RNA", at positions 1470 to 1796 of the family's 1831-position model. The record is from RNAcentral.